AGAGUUUGAUCAUGGCUCAGAACGAACGCUGGCGGCAUGGAUUAGGCAUGCAAGUUGAACGAACUCCUUUGGGAGUGAGUAGCGAAAGGGUGAGGAACGCGUGAGUAAUCUGCCCAUAAGUUGGGAACAACAGUUGGAAACGACUGCUAAUACCGAAUGUGGCUAUUGACCCGCAUGGGUUUUUGGCUAAAGAUUUAUCGCUUAUGGAUGAGCUCGCGUCCCAUUAGCUAGUUGGUGAGGUAACGGCCACCAAGGCUACGAUGGGUAGC
RNAcentral lists this ribosomal RNA (269 nucleotides) under uncultured bacterium. Its description in RNAcentral is "partial 16S ribosomal RNA". It matches the Rfam family "Bacterial small subunit ribosomal RNA", at positions 8 to 287 of the family's 1533-position model. The record is from RNAcentral.